RNAcentral lists this long non-coding RNA (3840 nucleotides) under Mus musculus (house mouse). Its description in RNAcentral is "long non-coding RNA chr7:18872909-18876749". Lineage: Eukaryota; Metazoa; Chordata; Mammalia; Rodentia; Muridae. The record is from RNAcentral.
CGGAGGACAGCAUCCUGACGGCUAAGCCCCCACGGAGACAAGCAGAGCUCUGCAAAGGCAGGACCAUCAGCUACAGAGCAAGGAGGAGCUGAAAAGCUUUGGUAAGAGAGGGACACUGAGGUGAGCUAGCGCCAGUGGUCCAGCAGGAGCAUCACAAACCUAGUCACUUUCUGCAUCUUCUCACGGGAUGGCCACAUUAAUUUUGGCUUCCCUUAUGAAAGCGAGCUGGCUUUCAAAAGUUUCCAUGGUUAUGUUUCCUCCAAAAACAUCAGUAGCUUCACAUACUUUCCUUUGUUUCCCAACAAGAGCCAGACUGAUUUUUCAAAGAUGCAAAAUCGCUCUCAUAACUCUCAUCCCCCAAGUCCUCUGUGAGUCGUCCCUAAGUGCCCUGGGAAUGAAAUGCAAGGGCCCCUCCCACAUACACUCCAGUGCUUUCCAUCCUAACAAUUAAAACCCAGGAAAGUCUAUACCGCUGGUAAAUGAUUGCGAUUGCCUCUGCUGUUAACAGAAGUGAUCUGCUCUGCGGGAGAGUGGUAGGGAGGCAGAAGGCAGGACAGGAAGGAGCGCUGGGGGUGGGAGGGGAGGAAACCUUAUGGGUUCAGCGGUUGCUUUUACGUACGCUGGUAAAAAUGGGGACAUGGCACCCUCUGGUGGACAAAGGAGAGAACUGCGGUAACCCUGUGCAUCGUGACUCCCCUCACACACACACACUCUAAAAUCCCAGAGGUCAAAGGUAAUAAUGAUCCCAGAAUUCUGAAGCUUCCAGGCAGCCAGGGUAAUUGUGUGAAAUAUAACAUUUCUUUUAUUAGUAGUCCCUGGUUUUGUUUUGUUUUUUAGUUGUAUCUUUUCUCAACCACUAAGAUCUGUGAAGAUAGAAACCUCUCUUGUUCACAGCCCUUGUUCCUUUAACAGGUGGUUGGAGCACAGAAUAGAUGCUCAGUAAAUGAUACGGGAUGUUAUUCACUGUCUUCAGCUCAAACCUGAGAUGAUGUGCUGGCGCAGUGGUGGCGCACGCCCUUAAUCUCAGCACUUGGGAGGCAGAGACAGGCGGAUUUCUGAGUUCGAGGCCAGCGUGGUCUACAGAGUGAGUUCCAGGACGGUCAGAGCUACACAGAGAAACCCUGUCUUGAAAAAAAAAAAAAAAGAACCCAGAGGAUGUGUGUGCCCCCACUUUGGAUCGGACCCAAGACCCUAAGACCCAAGACCCAACAUGGAGUUAGCAGCUGCUAGCCUCCUUCCAGAGCCUGUACAAGCUGCUUCCCUGAAGUAGUAAGCAAGGGGGGUCAGAUGAAACCCGAAAGCUCCCUGUCUCUGGGUAUGAAGAGAGCAGGGGCACAAUUGGUGGGGUACCCAAAGAUUCCCCCCACGGUGGGACAAGAGGAAUGGGGAUUCGAACAGAAGGAAGCAGGUGGGCUGUAAGUUAGGAAGCUGGAAUAUUUUAGGUUGUCUUUGUUUUUAAAGCAUUGAUGUGUGUGAGUGUUUUGCCUGUAGGUGUGUAGGUGUGCCACACUGGUGCAUGCCUGGUGCCCAGGAGUUGAGGAGGAGAGGCUCCCCUGCAUUAACUAGGAUUACAGAUGAUUGUAGACUGCCGUGUGGGUACUGGGAAUCAAACCUGCGUUCUCUGCAAAGGCAAAAAGUGCUCAUACCUGCUCAGCCAUCUCUCAAUGGGCCAAAUUUUUAACCCACAAAAACUUCAACCCCACCAGGUCGUUCAUCCUUAAAGCAGGGGAGGGUAGGAAAGCUUUUAAACAGAGAUGCCUGCAUCUUGAAGGUAAGGGUAAAAACAGCCCUAGGAAGUACCUGUGUGGUACACAGGUUGGGCAAGGAGCAAGUUCCUUCUCUCAAUAAAGAAGAAGGAAAGCCUACUAUUAAGUAAGUCUCCCAGAUGUUGGGAAAGGUGCCUGAUACCCUACACUCCUCCUUCCUGUGCCGACUCCCAAGAGAGCUGUGGUCUGCUGCACAAGAAAUUCAUUGUGUGUUUUUGUUGGAGACAGGGUCUCUUGUAACCCAGACUAGCCUCAAACUCCCUCUACACAGCCAAAGAUGACCUUGAACGUGUGAACCUCCUGUGGCUUUAUAAUUACAGGCACGGACCAAAUUACCUGGUUUAUGUGGUGUUGGAUCUAAUGUGGAAAUGUCCUCCUACUUUUGCAAAAGCCUGGCAGUGCCCAUGUGAAACCAGAUGCACUACCACUGAGCCACACGCCCAGCCCCUCACUGGGGGAUUCUAGGCAGGGGCUCUACCACUGAGCCACACCCCCAGCCCCUCACUGGGGGAUUCUAGGCAGGGGCUCUACCACUGAGCCACGCCCCCAGCCCCUCCUUGGGGGAUUCUAGGCAGGGGCUCUACCACUGAGCCACACCCCCAGCCCCUCACUGGGGGAUUCUAGGCAGGGGCUCUACCACUGAGCCACGCCCCCAGCCCCUCACUGGGGGAUUCUAGGCAGGGGCUCUACCACUGAGCCAUAUCCCAGAGGCAGGAAGACAAGGAAAUGCAGAAGGAAGAGGAAAGAAAAGAAGUUGGGGAAGAAAACGGAAAGCCGAGACAGCACAACUGGCUGUGCAAGCAUAGGACCUGAGCUCUCGCUCCCCUUUCCUGUUUGAGGUAGGUCUUCUAAUGUUUCUCAGGUUACUCUUUAACUCAAGAUCCUCCACACCCAGUCUCAUGAGUAUCUGGGAUUACAAGUGUGCACUGCCAUGCCUGGCCACUGGAGCGUUAGUAAUGAUACUGAAGAAUACAGGCUUGUGAGGUCAGAAAAUACAUAUUAAAUGCCUAUCAUUACACUGCAUUCCCCAAUUUUUCUCUCCACUUGGAAUGUGUUGAAGCCACCUCUGCUCUGCACUCGAUGGGGGCAUCACUCACUUCUUCUUCCUUUUUCUUUCUUUUUUUUUUUUUUUUUUUUUUGAGGAGCAAAGACAAGAGGGUUCAUGAUGUAGCCCAGGCUGACAUCAAAACUUACUAGUCAGUGAGGAUGCUCUUGAAUCCCUCCCUGGUAUCCCUACAGACAGCUUUAGGCAAAGUUUUUAUAUUGAAAUAUUUUCUAUUAUGGUUGAGGCUCCGAGGUCAAUACCCAGAACCAUAAAAGCGUAUCAAAAACUAAAACAUUUCUAUUGUGGUGGCCUGACCUGGGUUUCAGUCUUAGCACCUACAGCUGGUGGCCCAGAACCCUCUGUAACUUCUGCCCAGGGAUCAAUGCUCUGGCCUCAGUGGGUAUCCACAUUUAUACGCACGGUUAUAGUUAGGGUUUUAUUGCUGUGAACAGACACCAUGACCAAGUCAACUCUUAUAAAAACAACUUUUAGUUGGAGUUGGCUUACAAGUUCAGAGGUUCAGUCCAUUAUCAUCAAGGCAGGAACAUGGCAGCAUCCAGGUAGGCAUAGUGCAGGGAGAGCUGAGAGUUCUACAUUUUCAUCUGAAGGCUGCUAGCAGAAUACUGGCUUCCAGGCAGUUAGCAUGAGGGUCUUAAAGCUCACACCCAGAGUGACACACCUACUCCAACAGGGACACACUCUCUAAUAGGGCCACUCCCUGGGCUGAGCAUAUACAAACCAUCACACGCACAUACCCACAAACAGAAAUGCACACAAACUGGCACAUAUACAUAAUCAUGAUGUUUUUUAAUUAGUAGGUAGAGUGGUGUACACCUUUAAUCCCACCUUGAUAACUGUGAGUUCAGGCCAGCCUGGUCUACAUAGGGUGUACCAGGACAUCCAGGGCUACAUAGAGAGACCCUGUCUCAGUUUUUUGUUGUUGUUUUAAUUAGUUGGUUGGUUAGUUUGAAACCAGCCUGGUCUACAUAGGCAGUCCCAGGCUAGUCAGGACAACAUAAUGACACCCUA